Molecule: long non-coding RNA, 1760 nt
Filed under: Coturnix japonica (Japanese quail)
Lineage: Eukaryota; Metazoa; Chordata; Aves; Galliformes; Phasianidae
Description: lncRNA (ENSCJPG00005006932.1)
Source: RNAcentral
UGGAGAUAGGGAAAACAAUUGGAAGAACAUCUAUGUUGCUUUUUAUCAGAAAUGUCCUUGGUCAGGACCAUUUCUGGUUUUCUCCAAACACUGUGUAUGUGUUGCAUGCAGUAACUGAAGUGGUAGUGAUGAUUUCAGUACCUCAACUGCCUGCCUGUGUAGCUCUUUGGAAACAGGAGAAGGAAAUAAAUCAACAAAUUUCUCUGCAGAGUGGAAGAUGAUGAUGUAAGCAGAGGGAGUUUUCAGCUGCAGAAAGAACAAUGGUGGAAACUUAUGGUUUUGUACUACAGCAGCUCCUUUCCACUAUCAGACAGGAAUCUAUGACCACAGGCAAUUCAAACAGGGAUACUAACAAAAUAGUGAGGAGCAACAUUGCACAGGCCUUGUCUUAUGGCAUCUGCUCCAGAAACGACUGGAGGAGCAGAGAUCUGUCUAUUGAGUGGACUUAUUGCCCCAGCCUUCUGGGACAUCUGUCAGAGGCCCCUGUUCAGAGAUGUUGGUUAUUGUUUGAAUUGAGUAUUUUAAGCAGUCACUGGUUUUGGGCCAGAGCUCCUUCCGUGGCCUUUCCAACCCUGAUAAGCUUGUCUGAGGUCCCUCAAGUUGCUGCUUAUUUUUUACUGUGGGAAAGAGGAAGAAUAUUCAAAUGAGGUCAUUUUUUGAAGGAUCUUUAAGAACAAGACAUUAAAAAUUGUUAUUAUGCUAUGAAUUAGUGAGGUGGCUACGUAGAUGCUGUUGGCAUAGAAUACAUCUUUGAGCAAAUGGAUCUCAGAUCCAACUCAAGGUUUUUCAUCAAAGCAUGUGAUAUUUGAGUGAGUAUUUCAGAAUAUGAAAAGCAUGUCUUUUUAAAACAGCAUGUGUAAUCAGCCUGAACCUGCUUUACAGCUAGGAUAUUCAAACUAAGAGUACUGCUGGUGUCUGACACUGAUCUAUUAGCUAAUGCUGGUAACAUGCUGGGAACUACCUGUGUUCUGUAACACUGGAAGGCAGUCCAUUAGUGCCUGAAUUAAUGCACUCAGGGACUUUUAAUUCUUCAUGGAAUCUAUUUCCAUAUUUAAUUACGGGAAAGUCAUAGAAAAAAAGUUACAAAGCACCUUCUUCAUCCAUUUCAUUGUCAACGAGAGUGGCGAUUACUAAUUCUUCUUCAAGUUAUAUUGCAGUGUUCACUUAAAAUAAUGCAGCUCCUUGCUGAGUUUGCUCCAAUUAAGCCAUAUUUUAUUUGCUAAUGACUUACCAAGUUGACAGUGACCUUGAAGUUGGUAUUGUCAACACUUCUUGGCAUAAAGCAUUAGGUGAUUUAGAGUUAUUAAGAGUGCAUCAAUUUAUUCUUCAGUCUUUGUCAGUGUUUUUAAAAAGCUUUUUGGUUCCAUUACAGAUAAGAUACUUUACCUGGAUAAUGUACAGGUUAGUAAGUUAAGUAACAAUCAAUUUAUAUUAAUUUUACUGCAGAUUUUAAAAAUAUGGCAGCACUUUUAUUGUCUUUUGAGUUUGAAAAAGAGCAAUCUCUGUGUCAUCUUUAAUUGUUACUAGUCCAAUUUAUUACCAUCUCAUUUCUGUUGGCCUAAGUCACUUUUACAAAUAUUUAUAAAUAUUUAGAUAAUGUCAGUAUCUCAAGUUAUACUCAAUUAUUGUUGAAUUUAACUUACUACAUGUAUUAAAAAUUGUGCAAGUAUAACUGAAAAGAGUAAGAUGUUGAUUUGUCAUGAAUGCUUCUUGGUACUUUAAGACAAAGAUAAAUAAUAAAAUCAUAAUUAGACAGCUCA